UUUCUUCGCACAGGGGGAAGGAUGAGAAGCUUCGACCAAGGUUCGAGUCGAGCGCAGCGAGACAACGCGCUUUAGCGCGGUCAUCCUUCCCACUCAGCGC
Molecule: non-coding RNA, 100 nt
Filed under: Serratia oryzae
Lineage: Bacteria; Pseudomonadati; Pseudomonadota; Gammaproteobacteria; Enterobacterales; Yersiniaceae
Also listed under: 1 other name
Description: RtT sRNA
Rfam family: RtT RNA
About the family: This family represents a bacterial cis-regulatory element known as RtT RNA. The exact function of RtT is unknown although it is thought that it may be involved in changing the cellular response in relation to amino acid starvation.
Source: RNAcentral